UCUUUCUCCAGCAAAACCUAGCUAUGCUCUCACCACCACCAUCACCACCACCACUACCACCGAUCUCUUCUCUUUCACUUUCUCUAUACGAAAAGAUUGUUGAAUUUGUAUAUCUGAUCUUUCUCAAGCAAAACCCUAAUAUUUCUUACAAAGUUAGGGUUUGCAUCGCAAAUAAAACUGCAGCUGAGGAGUUAUUCGAUAUUAUAAGGGUGGUUAGGGUUUUCAAUCUCUCGAGGAGUCGUCUUCAUCAAACCUAUGACAAUGGUAGAGAUGAUGCGCCACCUCAAUUAGAUGUUUAAGUGUUCAAGUUAAUUUCUUAAUGAAUGUUUUUUUCUCCUCUACCAGAAUUCUUCCUAAGGAUUAGGUUUUCAGAGUACAAGAGUUCAUCAUGGAAAUUCAAUGGCACCAAAGAGUAGAAAGCCCUAGCUCCCAAAACUCUUCAAAGCCAGCCAAAUCUGGUGGUGGUAAACAAAAAAAGGCUAUGACGAAUGAUCAAUUUGAUAACUAUAUAAUGCAAAAAAGUAUUGGAGACUCGUUACGAGUACAAGUAUAAAACUAUCUCUAAUUAAAGUAGUAACUAAUAUUUCUGGUAGAUUUGUGGCUGCUUCUUGAAGGUUUUUAAAAGGAGCUUCUAGCAUUAAUAAGAACUUCUAUCUGUACCCUGCAAAAGAUAUCUUGCCUUACUGUCAAGCACUUGAGAAGCUCGCUCGCUAUAGUUGAUCUCCACUUUUCUCAUGUCAGGUUGGAAGUGGUCCCUUGCUGGAUCUAGCAGCUCGCUUUUUUCGAUUAAUGUGAGUCUUUCCGUUCUCACCUUUCAAAUUAUAUGGAUCUUCAAGAAACUCAUAUUUGUGUCGCCCAUUUGCAUGGAUAAAAGCAAGAAAUAAGCACUUUCAUGUGAGUAUUUUACUGAUCUCUUUGGUCUAAGUUUAGGAAAUUUAGUUAAUUGAAGUACUAAAGGCUUCCACUUUUGAAUGUGUCCGGGUUUGUUAUGAAUACAUGGCGGAGAAAGGGAAUGAAUAACUCCAGUUCAUACGCCACCACUGCACCACCAGUCCUUCAUUCCACUACCACCUGAUAUUGCUUUGGUUUGCUAAUUUGGCUUCAAAUUGUGAAUUCAUGAUCAGAUGAUUGUGUAGGAAGGAGCAAAAGCUACAAUAGAGACUGUUGAUGCAUUAAGAAGUGGAGCUGCUGCAAAAAGCAACAUGUUGAGCAGCUUCACUGAAAGUGGGGUGCGACAUCUAGAACAUUGCUCUUGUUGGUUCCAGUAGAAAUGCCUCACAAUCCAUGGUGACAACUUAAACUUCAACCUCUGGGCAUGCCUCAUGCAGCAAAAAUGUUCACCUAGGUAGCUGGUUUCCAUAGUUCCAAAGAAUGUGAGUUCUUUUUUCUUUAAAUUGUUAUGUAAGGACCUUGAUGGAAUACUGAAUUUAUAGAUUUAUCCACAUGACAAUCCUUCAUAUGAUUUUUUUAAUGUGCUUCA
Molecule: long non-coding RNA, 1480 nt
Organism: Papaver somniferum (opium poppy)
Lineage: Eukaryota; Viridiplantae; Streptophyta; Magnoliopsida; Ranunculales; Papaveraceae
Exons: 9
Source: RefSeq, a predicted model, not a curated record